GGAGGAGGAAUUGCAUAGAGGGCAUAAUAUUUGAAAAGUGAUGGCUACCAUUGAUGAGAAUGAUUCCAUCUCAACUCGGAGAGCUUGCAUUCUCAGAGCAUUUUCUCUGUAUCUUAAUGAAG
Molecule: non-coding RNA, 122 nt
Organism: Danio rerio (zebrafish)
Lineage: Eukaryota; Metazoa; Chordata; Actinopteri; Cypriniformes; Danionidae
Source: RefSeq, a predicted model, not a curated record